CAGCCGCGGGAAUACAGAGGGUGCGAGCGUUAAUCGGAUUUACUGGGCGUAAAGCGUGCGUAGGCGGCUUCUUAAGUCGGAUGUGAAAUCCCUGAGCUUAACUUAGGAAUUGCAUUCGAUACUGGGAAGCUAGAGUAUGGGAGAGGAUGGUAGAAUUCCAGGUGUAGCGGUGAAAUGCGUAGAGAUCUGGAGGAAUACCGAUGGCGAAGGCAGCCAUCUGGCCUAAUACUGACGCUGAGGUACGAAAGCAUGGGGAGCAAACAGGAUUAGAUACCCGGGUAGUCCCUGUCUCUUAUACACU
RNAcentral lists this ribosomal RNA (301 nucleotides) under uncultured bacterium. RNAcentral describes it as "partial 16S ribosomal RNA". It matches the Rfam family "Bacterial small subunit ribosomal RNA", at positions 512 to 810 of the family's 1533-position model. The record is from RNAcentral.